This 253-nucleotide ribosomal RNA is filed under the name uncultured bacterium. RNAcentral describes it as "partial 16S ribosomal RNA". It matches the Rfam family "Bacterial small subunit ribosomal RNA", at positions 524 to 776 of the family's 1533-position model. The record is from RNAcentral.
UACGAAGGGGGCUAGCGUUGCUCGGAAUCACUGGGCGUAAAGCGCACGUAGGCGGAUUGUUAAGUCAGGGGUGAAAUCCUGGAGCUCAACUCCAGAACUGCCUUUGAUACUGGCGAUCUCGAGUCCGGAAGAGGUGAGUGGAACUGCGAGUGUAGAGGUGAAAUUCGUAGAUAUUCGCAAGAACACCAGUGGCGAAGGCGGCUCACUGGUCCGGUACUGACGCUGAGGUGCGAAAGCGUGGGGAGCAAACAGG